This 461-nucleotide ribosomal RNA is filed under the name uncultured bacterium. RNAcentral describes it as "partial 16S ribosomal RNA". It matches the Rfam family "Bacterial small subunit ribosomal RNA", at positions 28 to 523 of the family's 1533-position model. The record is from RNAcentral.
GAUGAACGCUGGCGGCGUGCUUAACACAUGCAAGUCGAACGCGCAGCCUCCUUCGGGAGGUGGGCGAGUGGCGAACGGGUGCGUAACACGUAGGAAUCUGCCCCAGAGAGGGGGAUAACCGCUGGAAACGGUGGCUAAUCCCGCAUACCCUCGCGAGAGGAAAGCUCAGGCGCUCUGGGAUGAGCCUGCGGCCUAUCAGGUAGUUGGUGGGGUAACGGCCCACCAAGCCGACGACGGGUAGGGGGCGUGAGAGCGUGGCCCCCCACACGGGAACUGAGACACGGUCCCGACGCCUACGGGCGGCAGCAGUGAGGAAUCUUGCACAAUGGGGGCAACCCUGAUGCAGCGACGCCGCGUGCGGGAAGAAGGCCUUCGGGUCGUAAACCGCUUUUCUGUGGGAAGAGGAAGGACGGUACCGCAGGAAUAAGUCCCGGCUAACUACGUGCCAGCCGCCGCGGUAA